RNAcentral lists this unclassified non-coding RNA (271 nucleotides) under Glomeromycotina sp. RNAcentral describes it as "partial contains small subunit ribosomal RNA, internal transcribed spacer 1, and 5.8S ribosomal RNA". The stretch from base 1 to 47 matches the Rfam family "Eukaryotic small subunit ribosomal RNA", at positions 1785 to 1831 of the family's 1831-position model. The record is from RNAcentral. Lineage: Eukaryota; Fungi; Glomeromycota.
AAAGUCGUAACAAGGUUUCCGUAGGUGAACCUGCGGAAGGAUCAUUAUUAUAUUUGGGUAGUGGUUUACUGCUAGAAGUCGUUGUUUGGUUUUGUGUGGUUUGGUUUUCCUGCCUUUAAUUAGGUAUAGCUCCUUAUGUCUUCUAGCAGUAACCUCGCCCCAAAUAUAAAGGAGCAAGAUACCUUUAUAUUUAAAACCCACUCUUAAAUAUUUAUUUUUAUUUUAAAUGAUAAAUUAAAGAUCACUUUCAACAACGGAUCUCUUGGCUCUC